Molecule: long non-coding RNA, 1082 nt
Filed under: Bemisia tabaci
Lineage: Eukaryota; Metazoa; Arthropoda; Insecta; Hemiptera; Aleyrodidae
Description: lncRNA ENSSSA1UGG004669
Source: RNAcentral
AUGGGGUUUUUGCCGGUGGCAGGACUUCUCGUUCUGCUGUUCGCACUAUCUGAAGCCCAAUACAACCAAGGGUUCUACUCGGUGAUCGCGCCAAAAGUUCUUCGGCCGAACACGGAAUACCAUGUGGCGGUAUCUGUGGAGGACGCCUCUCAACCGACGUCGGUCAUCGUCCAAGUUGGCGGGAAGCAGGACAGCGGCGGCACUUUCCGCACCUCCGAGUACGUCACCCUCGCGCCCUACGCCUCCCAGAUCGUCAAACUAGAGGUCAGAGCAACUCCUCUAAUUAUUCCCAUCUUCAAUAUUCUACCAAGAUAUGGAUCGCAUUUAUCAAAAAGGAAUCAGCAAGAUCACAGUGUUUUAAAAAUGUUUCUUCUUCAUAAUGGAGAUGUUGCAUGUGUGAGGAAUUUGCGAUUUGACUAUUGAUUCUUAUGCAAAAUUUUGCGAAAAACACGAUGGUGCCACUGGUUUCCUCUGAAAUCAACUCCCAAGCUCAAAAAAGCUCUCAAGUUGAGGCCAAAAUGGAGGGAAAUUUCCCACCCUACCUGAGAGUCCACGUCUACAUCGAGACGAACUCUCCAUGUAAAGAUAGGGAGCAAAUACAUUAGCAGGGUUGCCGUGUUUUCAGUUUUAGAGUCCCCAAAGAAAGUGGCAACCCUGCUAAUGUGUUUGCUCCCUAUCUUUGCAUGGAGAGUUUGCCUUGAUGUAGAAGUGGACUCUGAGGAUAGCGUGGGAUAUCCCCGGUCAUUUUGGCCUCAACUUGAGAGCUUUUUUUGAGCUUAGGAGUUGAUUUCAGAGAAAACCACUGGCACCAUCGUGUUCCUCGCGAACUUUUACAUUAGAAUCAAUUGUCAAAUCUCAAAUUCCUCACACAUGCGCAACAUCUCCAUUAUUCCCAUGUCCAAUAUUCUCAAUUUUCAAGGAAAACGACUGUGUAAAUUUUAAUACUGUGCAUAAAAUGAGUAUUUUUAAAAGAAAAUUUUGGAAACACUGUAAUUGCGCUGGUUCCUUUUUGCUAAUGCGAUCCAUAUUGUAAAAGGUCACUCGCAACUACUCGUCGAUUGCCGCCGACUUCUUUGGGAAAA